GCCUUCGUGGUGUAACGGUAACACACUCGGCGCGUAUUCGAGAGGCCCAGGUUCGAUUUCCAGCCAGGGCA
RNAcentral lists this transfer RNA (71 nucleotides) under Stegodyphus mimosarum. It matches the Rfam family "tRNA". Rfam says of the family: Transfer RNA (tRNA) molecules are approximately 80 nucleotides in length. Their secondary structure includes four short double-helical elements and three loops (D, anti-codon, and T loops). Further hydrogen bonds mediate the characteristic L-shaped molecular structure. tRNAs have two regions of fundamental functional importance: the anti-codon, which is responsible for specific mRNA codon recognition, and the 3' end, to which the tRNAs corresponding amino acid is attached (by aminoacyl-tRNA synthetases). tRNAs cope with the degeneracy of the genetic code in two manners: having more than one tRNA (with a specific anti-codon) for a particular amino acid; and 'wobble' base-pairing, i.e. permitting non-standard base-pairing at the 3rd anti-codon position. Lineage: Eukaryota; Metazoa; Arthropoda; Arachnida; Araneae; Eresidae. The record is from Rfam by way of RNAcentral.